Molecule: long non-coding RNA, 1169 nt
Organism: Planococcus citri (citrus mealybug)
Lineage: Eukaryota; Metazoa; Arthropoda; Insecta; Hemiptera; Pseudococcidae
Exons: 2
Source: RefSeq, a predicted model, not a curated record
AUCUAGGCUGAAUUUCUUUGUAUAAUCUUCAAAAAUAAGAUGAGGUCACUAUUUCAUACUGAGAAUUUUUUCUGGUUUUGUGAGCAAAAUUUGCCCAUGCGUGUGGGUCAAGUGCCAUAUGGACAGUUCUUUUGUGAAUCUGGCAUUAGCAUACUUAUUUUACCCUACUUUAGAACUCGCCGACGAAUUACUGUAACUUGUAAUACAGUACCAAUCUUAUCAAGUUGUUUAAUUGAGAAAUAAACGGAUUUAUUCCUCAAUUCGGUACAUUUAAUAUGAUUUUUCUAUUACAACUGCAAUCUGGCCUUUAAACAGGAAAUUUUCAAGUGUUUUCCUUGUAGAAAUUAAUUAGUUAUUAUUUUUUGAGCUUUUAUGUUUCUGUAAAGAUUCGUCCAAAAUAGGUUAUGGGUUAUUGGGCUUAUGUGCUAUGCGUAUUCCAUACCUACUUGUAUGCGCUUGAUGUGUACAAAUUACAGAUCCUGAUGAAGUAACUCCAGCGUUGUUGUGGUAUCUGUCAAGCGCAUUGAUUUGGCUGGUUUUGUUUGAUCAAAUUGCUUUCCGAUGUGAAUGGUUGGUCAUCAUUUUGGGUCUUAGAAUUCACAUUGCAACGCAAAGAGACUACAUGAUUCUGAAUCAGAAUGGAUGUUUUUUUCUCAGUCGUCUCAUUGUCAUUGGCUGUAUUGUAUUUAAGUGAUUACACCGCUAUUGCAUACGUCCCAAAGUACGACUAUGUCAUGAUAGGUGAGGUUCUAAAUGUAUAUUACGCUGGUGAUGCAGAGGGACUAAAAUUUGCUGGCGUUGCGCCUGAGGUGGUUUGCUUCAUAGCCAUGAAGCAUACGCAUACGGAAGUACCUCAACCUACAAAUCCAAUGAAACAUAAUGGCCGCUAUCACGAGUGCCAUCUCCCGGAGGGUUGCGCUGUUGCGGAGAGAACGAUGAUUUUGAAUAAAACACUCGAAAUGAGAUGUACUUAUUCUAAGACUGAGUUAGAUCUUGAUACCAACAACGUUGCUGUUGGUAUAGAGCAUGAAGAUAAAGGUUAUUUUCGGCCGAAUACCUAAUGAUGCGAAAGUUUGGACCAGUGGUGAUAUGUGCCAGGGGGUGAUUUAUUUUUUAACUCGAUUUUUAUAUUGAAAUUUAAAUAAAUGUAUUUCAAAAGAAAAAACCAA